AGUCUAUGCGGAAUAUUUCCUGCAAAGUUGUUGCUCGUUGCAGGAAAUGCUCGAGAUAAAAUCCAUCUUGUAUUAAUAAGAGGAUAUUUAAAAUUUCUGUUCUUCUGUUGAUUUUAUAUUAUGCGUUCUAUAAUAUAAAUCGUCUUUUAAUAGCGUACUUUUUAAAAUUAGUACUCGAUCUUCAAUUAAUGCAAAUUUCAACGAGAUUAACGAGUUGACGAAAGAAUGACAGCCCGAGGCUUAAAUUAUGCAGAUGGCUGCCGCCGUACACGAGUUGCGGAGCCGACUCUCGCCUAUCGACGUCGUGGUUCGCACAAAAGCAGCUCCACUGUUUUUCCUGGAGGAAGCAAUGCAUAUCGCGUAUUUCACGUCUCGCACUCAAGGGUAAAAAAGAAGUAUACACGGAGGGAAGAAGAAGACGCGGAAUAAAGGGAAGGAAUCGUUUUCAAGAAGCUGCUCAUCCGCAACGAGAUCCUUCAAAUCCUUAAAGCGUUUAAUAUCUCGUAAUAGAUAGAGCUCUAUAAAAAUCGAAAUCGAUGAUAGUACGAGUAUACUACGUUCUGUGAAGGGAAUUAAAUAAUUAAUCAAUUCCACAUAUUUCUCUGUUCAACUAGGAGCAGAGAACUUGGUAGUGUUGCGAGCAUGUGACAGUUACCGCAUGGAAUGUCAAAACCUAUGUGUAUCGCGGUAGACGAUAGAACAUGAAUUGUAAGACAUUUUCAGGAUUUUAUACCACAAACACGUUAUUCGUUAUAUUAUAAACCAUUAAAAUAGUGUGUAAUACAAAAUAACUGUAAUUAAAUAAUCAUGAAAGAAUCCGCUCCAACAGUACCUUCCUUCUUUUAUCAUAUUUUCUCCAUUUUCAUGAAACGUAUAUAACGGG
This 883-nucleotide unclassified non-coding RNA is filed under the name Bombus terrestris (buff-tailed bumblebee). Its description in RNAcentral is "misc RNA ENSBTSG00005020540.1". Lineage: Eukaryota; Metazoa; Arthropoda; Insecta; Hymenoptera; Apidae. The record is from RNAcentral.